CCAGCGGCCCAUUCGACUUCUCAAUCCUCACUCUUCUCUUCUGAAAUGGGUAACCCACACCAGUUCAUCAUCUUUUUUCACCGAAUUUGUGUGGGGACGGGGAGCUAUUGAUUGAAGCGCCUCACACAAAUCAGACUAUGCUCUAUGAAGGCUUGAAAGAUUUGAGUAUGGGAAGCAAAUUACAAAUUACAAAAUCCAAAUUUUCAUAUUGAUAUUUCUAUUGAGGGAGUCAUGCUUAGAGGAGUGGCUGGUGGUACAAUGAAUGGUUGGAUGCAAUUAGUUGCGUAUGGAUGGCUGAAGAUGCACAAGGGAUGUUCGGUAGCAGUCCAGCUUCAGAUCCUACUUUUAUGGUUGUGGAAUUUGUUAGAGACCAUUUCAAAGAAGGAUUAAGAACACGCAUAAAGUUGCUAGCAUGUUAGUAGAGAAGAAGAAUUGCAUUGAUUUUUUUUUUUUUUCCUAUCAUAUCUAUUUUGUUCAACUGGUUGGGGUAUUUACAUGUAUCAAGUAAUAAUUUGGACGACAAUUUUAGUACUGUUUUCAUGUAAUAUAUAGAUAUACAUAUAAAGAUAAUGAAAAGGAGGUUUAAUGUU
This is a long non-coding RNA of Prunus dulcis (almond), 590 nucleotides long. RefSeq lists it as uncharacterized. The record is from RefSeq and is a predicted model, not a curated record. The transcript has 4 exons. Lineage: Eukaryota; Viridiplantae; Streptophyta; Magnoliopsida; Rosales; Rosaceae.